UGGAGGAUCACCAAUGGAGGAUUCACACUACCAUCUGCAAUGUUUUCUUCCUCUUUGUGAUACAUUCGAGAAGAAUAGCGUUUCUAAGGAUGCUAUUCAACUAAAAGCAUUCUCAUUCUUUCUUAGGGACAAAGAAAGAAAGUGGCUGUUAUCUCAACCGACAGAAUCAUUCACCAAGCCGCCUUGUCACAAACCUUUUUAACUAGAUACUUUCCACCUGAAAAAACAGCUAAGCUUAGAGCUAAACUUAAUGCUUUUAGACAGAAAGACAAUAAAUGUCUCUAUGACACAUGA
RNAcentral lists this unclassified non-coding RNA (294 nucleotides) under Hevea brasiliensis (rubber tree). The record is from RNAcentral. Lineage: Eukaryota; Viridiplantae; Streptophyta; Magnoliopsida; Malpighiales; Euphorbiaceae.